This 1026-nucleotide ribosomal RNA is filed under the name human gut metagenome. RNAcentral's name for it is "bacterial SSU rRNA". It matches the Rfam family "Bacterial small subunit ribosomal RNA", at positions 68 to 1071 of the family's 1533-position model. The record is from RNAcentral.
UUCACCGAAUGCUUGCAUUCACCGAAAGAAGCUUAGUGGCGAACGGGUGAGUAACACGUAGGCAACCUGCCCAAAAGAGGGGGAUAACACUUGGAAACAGGUGCUAAUACCGCAUAACCAUGAACACCGCAUGAUGUUCAUGUAAAAGACGGCUUUUGCUGUCACUUUUGGAUGGGCCUGCGGCGUAUUAACUUGUUGGUGGGGUAACGGCCUACCAAGGUGAUGAUACGUAGCCGAACUGAGAGGUUGAUCGGCCACAUUGGGACUGAGACACGGCCCAAACUCCUACGGGAGGCAGCAGUAGGGAAUCUUCCACAAUGGACGAAAGUCUGAUGGAGCAACGCCGCGUGAAUGAAGAAGGCCUUCGGGUCGUAAAAUUCUGUUGUCAGAGAAGAACGUGCGUGAGAGUAACUGUUCACGUAUUGACGGUAUCUGACCAGAAAGCCACGGCUAACUACGUGCCAGCAGCCGCGGUAAUACGUAGGUGGCGAGCGUUGUCCGGAUUUAUUGGGCGUAAAGGGAACGCAGGCGGUCUUUUAAGUCUGAUGUGAAAGCCUUCGGCUUAACCGAAGUAGUGCAUUGGAAACUGGAAGACUUGAGUGCAGAAGAGGAGAGUGGAACUCCAUGUGUAGCGGUGAAAUGCGUAGAUAUAUGGAAGAACACCAGUGGCGAAAGCGGCUCUCUGGUCUGUAACUGACGCUGAGGUUCGAAAGCGUGGGUAGCAAACAGGAUUAGAUACCCUGGUAGUCCACGCCGUAAACGAUGAGUGCUAAGUGUUGGAGGGUUUCCGCCCUUCAGUGCUGCAGCUAACGCAUUAAGCACUCCGCCUGGGGAGUACGGUCGCAAGACUGAAACUCAAAGGAAUUGACGGGGGCCCGCACAAGCGGUGGAGCAUGUGGUUUAAUUCGAAGCAACGCGAAGAACCUUACCAGGUCUUGACAUCUUCUGACAAUUCCAGAGAUGGAACGUUCCCUUCGGGGACAGAAUGACAGGUGGUGCAUGGUUGUCGUCAGCUCGUGUCGUGAG